AAUCAACGCUGGCGGCGUGCCUCAGACAUGCAAGUCGAACGCAAAAGUCCCCUUCGGGGGACAAGUAGAGUGGCGCACGGGUGAGUAACACGUAGGUAAUCUACCUUCGGAUGGGGAAUAACAACCGGAAACGGUUGCUAAUACCGCAUAAUGCAGCGGCACCUAAUGGUGACAGUUGUUAAAGCGGGGGAUUGAAAGACCUCGCGUCUGAAGAGGAGCCUGCGGCGGAUUAGCUUGUUGGAGGGUAACGGCCUACCAAGGCGACGAUCCGUAGCCGGCCUGAGAGGGCGGUCGGCCACACUGGGACUGAGACACGGCCCAGACUCCUACGGGAGGCAGCAGUGGGGAAUUUUUCGCAAUGGGGGCAACCCUGACGAAGCAACGCCGCGUGGGGAUGAAGGUCUUCGGAUUGUAAACCCCUGUCGAACUGGGACGAAUGUAGAGCGGACCUAAUACGCCGAGCUAUUGACUGUACCGGUGGAGGAAGCCACGGCUAACUCUGUGCCAGCAGCCGCAGU
Molecule: ribosomal RNA, 518 nt
Filed under: uncultured bacterium
Lineage: Bacteria
Description: bacterial SSU rRNA
Rfam family: Bacterial small subunit ribosomal RNA
Source: RNAcentral